RNAcentral lists this transfer RNA (63 nucleotides) under Terebratalia transversa. RNAcentral describes it as "tRNA-Tyr". It matches the Rfam family "tRNA". Rfam says of the family: Transfer RNA (tRNA) molecules are approximately 80 nucleotides in length. Lineage: Eukaryota; Metazoa; Brachiopoda; Rhynchonellata; Terebratulida; Laqueidae. The record is from RNAcentral.
GGCAAAGUAGUUUAAUUAAAACAAAAUAAGAGCCUGUAAAGCUUUAGAUGGGGUCCUUUGCCA